This 597-nucleotide ribosomal RNA is filed under the name Trichoderma tropicosinense. Its description in RNAcentral is "eukaryotic LSU rRNA". The stretch from base 235 to 388 matches the Rfam family "5.8S ribosomal RNA". Lineage: Eukaryota; Fungi; Ascomycota; Sordariomycetes; Hypocreales; Hypocreaceae. The record is from RNAcentral.
UCUCCGUUGGUGAACCAGCGGAGGGAUCAUUACCGAGUUUACAACUCCCAAACCCAAUGUGAACGUUACCAAACUGUUGCCUCGGCGGGAUCUCUGCCCCGGGUGCGUCGCAGCCCCGGACCAAGGCGCCCGCCGGAGGACCAACCAAAACUCUUGUUGCAUGCCCCCUCGCGGGUUUUUUGUACUAUCUGAGCCAUCUCGGCGCCCCUCGCGGGCGUUUCGAAAAUGAAUCAAAACUUUCAACAACGGAUCUCUUGGUUCUGGCAUCGAUGAAGAACGCAGCGAAAUGCGAUAAGUAAUGUGAAUUGCAGAAUUCAGUGAAUCAUCGAAUCUUUGAACGCACAUUGCGCCCGCCAGUAUUCUGGCGGGCAUGCCUGUCCGAGCGUCAUUUCAACCCUCGAACCCCUCCGGGGGGUCGGCGUUGGGGAUCGGCCCUUCACGGGGCCGGCCCCGAAAUGCAGUGGCGGUCUCGCCGCAGCCUCUCCUGCGCAGUAGUUUGCACACUCGCACCGGGAGCGCGGCGCGUCCGAUGCCGUAAAACACCCAACUUUCUGAAAUGUUGACCUCGGAUCAGGUAGGAAUACCCGCUGAACUUAA